Molecule: ribosomal RNA, 497 nt
Filed under: uncultured bacterium
Lineage: Bacteria
Description: partial 16S ribosomal RNA
Rfam family: Bacterial small subunit ribosomal RNA
Source: RNAcentral
GAUGAACGCUGGCGGCGUGCCUAAUACAUGCAAGUCGAGCGAACGGACGAGAAGCUUGCUGCUCUGACGUUAGCGGCGGAGGGGUGAGUAACGCGUGGAUAACCUACCUAUAAGACUGGGAUAAUUUCGGGACACCGGCGCUAAUACCGUAUAAUCUUCUGAACCGCAUGGUUCAAAAGUGAAAGACGGCCUUGCUGGCACUUAUAGAUGGAUCCCGGCUGCAUUAGCUAGUUGGUCAGGUUACGGCCUUCCAAGGCGACGAUGCGUAGCCGACCUGAGUGGGGGGUAGGCCGCCCUGGAACGGGGCCGGGGUCAAGGGUCCUACGGGAGGCAGCAGAAGGGAAUCUUCCGCAGUGGGCGAAAGCCUGACGGAGCGAGGCGGCGUGAGUGAUGAAGGUCUUCGGAUCGUAAAGCUCUGUUUUGGGGGAAAAACAGAUGUGGAAGUUGCUGUACACUUAUUGACGGUACCUAAUAAGAAAGCCACGGCUAACUACGUG